UGGGGAAUAUUGCACAAUGGGCGCAAGCCUGAUGCAGCCAUGCCGCGUGUAUGAAGAAGGCCUUCGGGUUGUAAAGUACUUUCAGUCGGGAGGAAGGUGUCAAGGUUAAUAACCUUGGCAAUUGACGUUACCGACAGAAGAAGCACCGGCUAACUCCGUGCCAGCAGCCGCGGUAAUACGGAGGGUGCAAGCGUUAAUCGGAAUUACUGGGCGUAAAGCGCACGCAGGCGGUUUGUUAAGUCAGAUGUGAAAUCCCCGGGCUCAACCUGGGAACUGCAUCUGAUACUGGAAAGCUUGAGUCUCGUAGAGGGGGGUAGAAUUCCAGGUGUAGCGGUGAAAUGCGUAGAGAUCUGGAGGAAUACCGGUGGCGAAGGCGGCCCCCUGGACGAAGACUGACGCUCAGGUGCGAAAGCGUGGGGAGCAAACAGG
This 429-nucleotide ribosomal RNA is filed under the name Chloroflexota bacterium. RNAcentral's name for it is "Chloroflexi bacterium partial 16S ribosomal RNA". It matches the Rfam family "Bacterial small subunit ribosomal RNA", at positions 355 to 776 of the family's 1533-position model. Lineage: Bacteria; Bacillati; Chloroflexota. The record is from RNAcentral.